Molecule: small nucleolar RNA, 133 nt
Organism: Ornithorhynchus anatinus (platypus)
Lineage: Eukaryota; Metazoa; Chordata; Mammalia; Monotremata; Ornithorhynchidae
Source: RefSeq, a predicted model, not a curated record
AACCUCUCAGGGUCGCACCUGGAGAGUUUCCGGUACUCUACCAGUCUCGACUACGGGAGCGAGAGCCAAGCAGAGGCAAUUCCAUUCCUAGCUUGGGCAGUGGCUAGUGAGUGGAAGGCCAUCUGUUACAAGU